Bubalus bubalis (water buffalo) is the source of this 629-nucleotide long non-coding RNA. RefSeq lists it as uncharacterized. The transcript has 2 exons. The record is from RefSeq and is a predicted model, not a curated record. NCBI's taxonomy places the organism in Eukaryota, Metazoa, Chordata, Mammalia, Artiodactyla, Bovidae.
CUAGAUCGACUGCUUCGUGUGCUGGACCGUGGGUGGACUGCGCUGGCGUCAGGGGAUUCCGGAAAGUUCCAAGGACAUCAGGGAUCCCCUUUUGGACUGUAGUUCCCCGGGAAGCCGCUUCCGACGCUCUUUCCAGACUGCGAAAGGAAAACUUCCUGGAGAGCGGAGGAGGGACCCGGCGGGAGUGCCACACCCGGAUACCUACAGCACAGGAGCCAACUGAGGAUGUAUGGCAGCACCAGGAAGGCCCCAGUUACAUCUAAGGAGGAUUAGCUGAUGGAUGCUGUGCAGGAAUGACAUCUCAGCCCAGCCAAAUCUUUCAAGACAAGCUGGAGAAGCAGUUUUUGUGUUUUGGGGGGGGGGGUUUUAAUGUGCAAUCGUCUUAAUUUUAAAUUUGGUCAUUAAUUCAAAGAAUCAAGCCUAGCCUAUCCAGGGGCCUCAUGCAGCUCAUGCUUUCUCUUCCCUGACCCAAAGCUGAGCAAGAGAAGAACCGGAAACUGGAAUAGUGCCCAAGGCAACAGUACCUGGGAGCUCUUUCAUAUUUUAAAACUCCCAGCUGUAGGAAAGGAAGGCAUCUUUCAGGUGUCUUGGAACAGAAAUUUGUGCUGCAUAAAAUCCCUCUUCUUAAA